This 120-nucleotide ribosomal RNA is filed under the name Gopherus agassizii (Agassiz's desert tortoise). Lineage: Eukaryota; Metazoa; Chordata; Testudines; Testudinidae. The record is from RNAcentral.
GCCUGCAGCCAUACGAUGUCAGCCUGUGAUCUCCUCAGGGUUCACAAGGUAAAGAGGCUGAGGCCUACUCACUACCUGGGUGGGUGACCUUCAAAGGAAACCUAGAGGGAGCAGCAGGUG